This 1397-nucleotide ribosomal RNA is filed under the name human gut metagenome. RNAcentral's name for it is "SSU rRNA". It matches the Rfam family "Eukaryotic small subunit ribosomal RNA", at positions 570 to 1823 of the family's 1831-position model. The record is from RNAcentral.
GAUCAGUGAGAACAUCCCUGGCAAAUGCUUUCGCAGUGGUUCGUCUUCCGCUGGUCUAAGAAUUUCACCUCUCUCGGCGGAAUACGAGUGCCCCUGACUGUCCCUGUUAAUCAUUACUUCGGUGUUCGAAACCAACAAAAUAGCACCAAAGUCCUAUUUCAUUAUCCCAUGCUAAUCCAUGCAAAAGCGAAAUUCCAGCUCCAAUAGCGUAUAUUAAAGUUGUUGCAGUUAAAAAGCUCGUAGUUGAACUUUGGGCUUGGAGAAUCGGUCCAACUUUGUUGUGUACUGUCUUCUCCAGGUCUUUCCUUCUGGUUCUCAUUUGGGGUUUACUCCAUUUGUUGAUCCAGGAUUUUUACUUUGAAAAAAUUAGAGUGUUCAAAGCAGGCGUUUUGCUCGAAUAUAUUAGCAUGGAAUAAUAGAAUAGGACGAUUGGUUCUAUUUUGUUGGUUUCUAGGACCAUCGUAAUGAUUAAUAGGGACGGUCGGGGGCAUCAGUAUUCAGUUGUCAGAGGUGAAAUUCUUGGAUUUACUGAAGACUAACUACUGCGAAAGCAUUUGUCAAGGACGUUUUCAUUAAUCAAGAACGAAAGUUAGGGGAUCGAAGAUGAUCAGAUACCGUCGUAGUCUUAACCAUAAACUAUGCCGACUAGGGAUCGGGCGGUGCCUUUUAUUGGCCCACUCGGCACCUUACGAGAAAUCAAAGUUUUUGGGUUCUGGGGGGAGUAUGGUCGCAAGGCUGAAACUUAAAGGAAUUGACGGAAGGGCACCACCAGGAGUGGAGCCUGCGGCUUAAUUUGACUCAACACGGGGAAACUCACCAGGUCCAGACACAAUAAGGAUUGACAGAUUGAGAGCUCUUUCUUGAUUUUGUGGGUGGUGGUGCAUGGCCGUUCUUAGUUGGUGGAGUGAUUUGUCUGCUUAAUUGCGAUAACGAACGAGACCUUAGCCCUUAAAUAGAGUUGCUGGCAUUUGCUGGUAAAUCUUCUUAUGGGGACUAUCGAUUUCAAGUCGAUGGAAGUUUGAGGCAAUAACAGGUCUGUGAUGCCCUUAGACGUUCUGGGCCGCACGCGCGCUACACUGACGGAGCCAGCGAGCUUUUCCUUAGCCGAGAGGUUUGGGUAAUCUUGUGAAACUCCGUCGUGCUGGGGAUAGAGCAUUGUAAUUAUUGCUCUUCAACGAGGAAUUCCUAGUAAGCGCAAGUCAUCAGCUUGCGUUGAUUACGUCCCUGCCCUUUGUACACACCGCCCGUCGCUAGUACCGAUUGAAUGGCUUAGUGAGGCUUCAGGAUUUGCUUAGAUCGAGGGGCAACUCUCUUUCAGAGCGGAGAAUCUAGUCAAACUUGGUCAUUUAGAGGAACUAAAAGUCGUAACAAGGUUUCCGUAGGUGAACCUGCGGAAG